ACACAGAUGCACAUGAAAUUUGGUGCCGUGACUCGGAUUGGGGGACCUCCCUUGGGAGAUCAAUCCCCUGUACUCCUGUUCUUUGCUCCGUGAGAAAGAUCCACCUAUGACCCUCAGGUCCUCAGACCGACUAGCCCAAGGAACAUCUCACCAAUUUUAAAUCAGGUGGAGUCUCGCACUGUCAUCCUGGCUGGAAUGCAGUGGUGCAAGCCGACUCACUGCAACCUCUGCCUCUUGGGUUCAAGUGAUUCUCCUGCUUCAGCCUCCUGAUUUGCUGGGAUUGCAGAGCAAACCAGUGAAAAAAUGGCCUUCGCACUCCUGAGAGACCUUUCACCGGGCUUUCUACUUUUGAAUUCUCUCCAUAGCUGGUUUCCUCUUAGGCCUCGAUAGAGCAGUCCCUGAAUCACACAGGUAUGCUGACUACGUCUUUUCCUGGUACAAACCAUCAUGGGGGAAACACACAGCAAGAAGCAUCUUCAGGUCACAAGAUAGGUAAUACCAUCUACCUGAAUUUUUUCAAAAGCAGCAGAAUAUUUAGUUUUCUAUUUCAGUGGCUUCUAACAGAGAUCAUUGUUUGCACAAGAUUAAAUGUCUGCAGUGGUCGUGGCCUUCUAAGACUGAAUUACAUCACCAGCUUUCCUGGGUCUCCAGCUUGCAGAUGGCACACUGUGGGACUUCUUAGCCUGCAGAAUCAGUGAAGCACCCAUUGAUUGCCCCUUACUCUAGGGAUUUACAGCUUUGUGCUUGUCGUGGCCACUGCUCCCAAAGUGACUAUAAUCCGGAGGAUCCCCACGACCCUUCAGAGCAGGCAAGACACCAGCACCAGAAACUCUGAAAACCUAAAAGUCAAGAACAAUGCUUUUGCAUUUUCCUGUCCCUUCUAAAAUUUCAUUUUUAAGUGGUGAGAUCUCUUUAAGAAGAGGUUUCAAAAAUAAUGUAAAAAGUAUUGCUUGCAAGAUUUGAAAAUAAGCCAAUUCAACAAAUCCAAAAUAAAAAGC
Molecule: long non-coding RNA, 998 nt
Filed under: Homo sapiens (human)
Lineage: Eukaryota; Metazoa; Chordata; Mammalia; Primates; Hominidae
Description: long non-coding RNA NONHSAT153000.1
Source: RNAcentral